AUGGGGCAGAAGACUUUUCUUUUGAAUUUACAAAAUAUUGCAUCUGUGCAAAAUGGCCUACGGAGACCAUCAACUGGGCUCAUCUUAUCUCCCAGGGAGACGGGGUCUGCCCUCAGUGUACUGCAAGGCUGGGAUGUUUCAAUGAUGCCCGAGGUGAGAGCAGACUGGCAUAGCGGCUACACCUGGGGGAUUCCCAGUUCUUUCUGGACACUUGAUGUCUCAAGUUCCAAGGCCAGCUCAUCUGAGAAGGUAACACCAGCCCUAAGGCUUGCUUUGAACCCUUUGGAAUUGUGGACCCUGAUAAAGAAAGUUCCCCACACACACCUUUAUUGUAGAUCAGGCUGGGAUUCCUAGAUCUGUGGUUCUACAUUGGUUUCUGGACUUGCCCUGACUAAGGACCGUGUGAUAUUGAGUGAGGUACCAUCUGCUCAUGCUUGACUAUGUGACUCGGGG
Molecule: long non-coding RNA, 453 nt
Filed under: Rattus norvegicus (Norway rat)
Lineage: Eukaryota; Metazoa; Chordata; Mammalia; Rodentia; Muridae
Description: long non-coding RNA NONRATT032454
Source: RNAcentral